This 450-nucleotide ribosomal RNA is filed under the name Cetraspora pellucida. RNAcentral describes it as "SSU rRNA". It matches the Rfam family "Eukaryotic small subunit ribosomal RNA", at positions 540 to 998 of the family's 1831-position model. The record is from RNAcentral. RNAcentral also lists the same sequence under 1 other name. Lineage: Eukaryota; Fungi; Glomeromycota; Glomeromycetes; Diversisporales; Gigasporaceae.
AGGAACAAUUGGAGGGCAAGUCUGGUGCCAGCAGCCGCGGUAAUUCCAGCUCCAAUAGCGUAUAUUAAAGUUGUUGCAGUUAAAAAGCUCGUAGUUGAAUUUCGGGGUUCUACCGUUGGUCGGGCUUUGUCUGUACUGGCGUGUAGAAUUUCUACCUUCUGGGGAACCAUUAUGUUAUUAAUUUAGCGUAGUGGGAAACCAGGACCUUUACCUUGAAAAAAUUAGAGUGUUCAAAGCAGGCUUAUGUCUGAAUACAUUAGCAUGGAAUAAUAGAAUAGGACGGUGGUCCUGUUCUGUUGGUUUCUGAAUCACCGUAAUGAUUAAUAGGGAUAGUUGGGGGCAUUAGUAUUCAAUUGUCAGAGGUGAAAUUCUUGGAUUUAUUGAGGACUAACUUCUGCGAAAGCAUUUGCCAAGGAUGUUUUCAUUAAUCAAGAACGAAAGUUAGGGGAU